This 1537-nucleotide long non-coding RNA is filed under the name Sarcophilus harrisii (Tasmanian devil). RNAcentral describes it as "lncRNA (ENSSHAG00000022957.1)". The record is from RNAcentral. Lineage: Eukaryota; Metazoa; Chordata; Mammalia; Dasyuromorphia; Dasyuridae.
CGGCCCUUGGUUUCUAGGAGAGAUCUUUGCUCUGCACCAUAGAGACUUCUUUCUGCUGCGCUCUUCAGAUGGUCUUCCUAUGGUUACGGGACAGAAGUACUUAAGCCCUCAUCCUCUUCUAACGCCCGGCCUUUCUAAAGUUCUGGGUUACUCUGGGUGGGUGGGUGAGUGAGUGGAAUCCACAGUUGGAGUGUCUCCCACCUGAACAUCGGGGCCGGACCUGCCGGGUGCGUCCCAAGUGAAACCCUAGGCACCUUUAGCUGUCAGUGGAAGUGUUAGGGUUUUCUCCGUCUAGGCUGGCUCUCCGUGCACACUCUGCCUCUGCUGCGGGACUUACUAUGGGAUUGAAUGGGAGUGGAAGAAAGCUUUGCUAACUUUUCACGUCCAACCCACGCCUGCUGCUCCUAGAAGCACCUAGUUCCCAGACAUCUCAACGUGUUUCCCAGCCCGACGGGUAUCCCCAGUAAAUCAAGGAACAGCGACUCACAGAUCGGCUUCUGAGACUCACUUUUCUCCGGUCUUGCUGCGGAAACAAUACGCUCCCUUCACCUUCCCCAUCACCAUUCUUUUCUUCAACUCCAUCACCUCUUACCACACCCAUUCGGUGUAUCUCACUCCCGGAACACAAAAUCCAUUACUAUGCACCCUUAUCCCACACAAUCCUGCACUGUACACCUCUAGAACUAAGGAUACAUUACAUUGCUCUCUAUCCCCUACAACGAAUCCCCCCGGUCCUACACCUUUUUGCUUCCCAUUCCGCACCCUACUUUUCCACUCUAUUGAUGCACGUAUCUUCCUUCAUCCAGUUCCACAGCACAGAUACUGUCCAGCUCCGAGUUCGGACACCGCCCUACACCUUCGCCAAGGCAGCCCGAGCUCCCGCCGCCUGUCGGUCCAAGGAGCAGCAGUUCCAGUCGGUUUCGGCUCCGGGCGUAGGGAGGCCGGCAGGAGAGGGUAUAGAGUCUGAAGGAUAGCCAAAUUUGGGGAUCCUGGACAGCUGGGGCCGGGUUUGCUGGUGGCCUCCCAACAGGACAGUGUAGGGGCAGAGCUCGGGGUUGGGAGAGGGCAGGGAGUAGGGAGAGCACACGCCUCAUUUACCCAGGCUCUCUAACUGAGCCUCGGAACGCCCUGGGAGGCACGGAGGGGAACGGGACGGUCGAUUUUCCGCUAGGGGUAGCUGUUGGCCGAGAGCUGGAGACCUAGGCAGAUGCUUAUCCCCUGAGCUGAGGUUUAGCAUUUGGGCUCCGAUCUCCGGUGGUCGCUGCUUCAGUGGGUCCGGUCCCGAGGUGCUGGGGGCAUGCUCUCGCUCCUUGCCUGGAGUGCCAGCUUUCCCUAAGCUGUCUGUGGGGCGAACAGGUUCUUCUCCCCAGCUCCCCAAGACGCUCCUGCCCUCGUCCUAUGCUUUGGCUUCUGCUCUGGGGGAUCUGCGGGGUGCCCUCCCUCCUCCUCAACGUCGAGGGCCCCGUCAACCUGCCUCCUAGGGUCUGAACUUUGUCUUCCUACACUCGGUUACACUCCAGUCGGGGCGGGGAGGCUG